AGGCCUAACACAUGCAAGUCGAACGGUAACAGGAAGCAGCUUGCUGCUUCGCUGACGAGUGGCGGACGGGUGAGUAAUGUCUGGGAAACUGCCUGAUGGAGGGGGAUAACUACUGGAAACGGUAGCUAAUACCGCAUAACGUCGCAAGACCAAAGAGGGGGACCUUCGGGCCUCUUGCCAUCGGAUGUGCCCAGAUGGGAUUAGCUAGUAUGUGGGGUAACGGCUCACCUAGGCGACGAUCCCUAGCUGGUCUGAGAGGAUGACCAGCCACACUGGAACUGAGACACGGUCCAGACUCCUACGGGAGGCAGCAGUGGGGAAUAUUGCACAAUGGGCGCGAGCCUGAUGCAGCCAUGCCGCGUGUAUGAAGAAGGCCUUCGGGUUGUAAAGUACUUUCAGCGGGGAGGAAGGCGACAGGGUUAAUAACCCUGUCGAUUGACGUUACCCGCAGAAGAAGCACCGGCUAACUCCGUGCCAGCAGCCGCGGUAAUACGGAGGGUGCAAGCGUUAAUCGGAAUUACUGGGCGUAAAGCGCACGCAGGCGGUCUGUCAAGUCGGAUGUGAAAUCCCCGGGCUCAACCUGGGAACUGCAUUCGAAACUGGCAGGCUAGAGUCUUGUAGAGGGGGGUAGAAUUCCAGGUGUAGCGGUGAAAUGCGUAGAGAUCUGGAGGAAUACCGGUGGCGAAGGCGGCCCCCUGGACAAAGACUGACGCUCAGGUGCGAAAGCGUGGGGA
RNAcentral lists this ribosomal RNA (734 nucleotides) under uncultured Enterobacterales bacterium. Its description in RNAcentral is "bacterial SSU rRNA". It matches the Rfam family "Bacterial small subunit ribosomal RNA", at positions 44 to 767 of the family's 1533-position model. The record is from RNAcentral. Lineage: Bacteria; Pseudomonadati; Pseudomonadota; Gammaproteobacteria; Enterobacterales.